RNAcentral lists this ribosomal RNA (115 nucleotides) under Danio rerio (zebrafish). Lineage: Eukaryota; Metazoa; Chordata; Actinopteri; Cypriniformes; Danionidae. The record is from RNAcentral.
UCACACAGCUAUACCACCCUGCAUCCAAAAACCGUUUACUCACUAAAGGGAAGCAUGCAGGGCAGGGCAGUACCUGGAUGGGAGACCACAUAAGAAAACUACAUUGCUUUUGGAA